GUGAGACCGGGUGGUGAGAGCAGUAAAGAGUUUAAACGUAGUAUGGUAAAAAUACAACACAAAGGGGGAAACCAAGUUCCUUGCUAUCCCGGCGUCCACGCCAGCCUUCGGCGUCUGCCAGCGCGUAUGCUGGAAGAGGAGGGUCGCCGCGCGCCAACUGUCUUCACGCCCGGCAUAUGGCCUCCUCGGUGGCUGUAGCCGCCGGGUUAUGAUGAGGGCAUUCUGUUGUGACUCAGGUGUCCGUUGGGAGGGACAGCGGAUUCCGCCGUCCUGCUGAUGG
RNAcentral lists this long non-coding RNA (280 nucleotides) under Setaria viridis. RNAcentral describes it as "long non-coding RNA (SVIR_LNC007630)". The record is from RNAcentral. Lineage: Eukaryota; Viridiplantae; Streptophyta; Magnoliopsida; Poales; Poaceae.